AACUUUCAACAACGGAUCUCUUGGUUCUGGCAUCGAUGAAGAACGCAGCGAAAUGCGAUAAGUAAUGUGAAUUGCAGAAUUCAGUGAACCAUCGAAUCUUUGAACGCACAUUGCGCCCGCCAGCACUCUGGCGGGCAUGCCAGUCCGAGCGUCAUC
RNAcentral lists this ribosomal RNA (156 nucleotides) under Ophiocordyceps sinensis. Its description in RNAcentral is "5.8S ribosomal RNA". It matches the Rfam family "5.8S ribosomal RNA". Rfam says of the family: 5.8S ribosomal RNA (5.8S rRNA) is a component of the large subunit of the eukaryotic ribosome. It is transcribed by RNA polymerase I as part of the 45S precursor that also contains 18S and 28S rRNA. Lineage: Eukaryota; Fungi; Ascomycota; Sordariomycetes; Hypocreales; Ophiocordycipitaceae. The record is from RNAcentral.